UGGGGAAUAUUGCACAAUGGGCGCAAGCCUGAUGCAGCCAUGCCGCGUGUAUGAAGAAGGCCUUCGGGUUGUAAAGUACUUUCAGCGGGGAGGAAGGAGUUGUGGUUAAUAACCACAGCAAUUGACGUUACCCGCAGAAGAAGCACCGGCUAACUCCGUGCCAGCAGCCGCGGUAAUACGGAGGGUGCAAGCGUUAAUCGGAAUUACUGGGCGUAAAGCGCACGCAGGCGGUCUGUCAAGUCGGAUGUGAAAUCCCCGGGCUCAACCUGGGAACUGCAUCCGAAACUGGCAGGCUUGAGUCUUGUAGAGGGGGGUAGAAUUCCAGGUGUAGCGGUGAAAUGCGUAGAGAUCUGGAGGAAUACCGGUGGCGAAGGCGGCCCCCUGGACAAAGACUGACGCUCAGGUGCGAAAGCGUGGGGAGCAAACA
This 427-nucleotide ribosomal RNA is filed under the name uncultured bacterium. Its description in RNAcentral is "partial 16S ribosomal RNA". It matches the Rfam family "Bacterial small subunit ribosomal RNA", at positions 355 to 774 of the family's 1533-position model. The record is from RNAcentral.